RNAcentral lists this ribosomal RNA (665 nucleotides) under Streptomyces sp. FXJ1.257. RNAcentral describes it as "bacterial SSU rRNA". It matches the Rfam family "Bacterial small subunit ribosomal RNA", at positions 67 to 749 of the family's 1533-position model. The record is from RNAcentral. Lineage: Bacteria; Bacillati; Actinomycetota; Actinomycetes; Kitasatosporales; Streptomycetaceae.
CGAUGAACCACUUCGGUGGGGAUUAGUGGCGAACGGGUGAGUAACACGUGGGUAAUCUGCCCUUCACUCUGGGACAAGCCCUGGAAACGGGGUCUAAUACCGGAUAUCACUUGCGCAGGCAUCUGUGCGGGUUGAAAGCUCCGGCGGUGAAGGAUGAGCCCGCGGCCUAUCAGCUUGUUGGUGAGGUAACGGCUCACCAAGGCGACGACGGGUAGCCGGCCUGAGAGGGCGACCGGCCACACUGGGACUGAGACACGGCCCAGACUCCUACGGGAGGCAGCAGUGGGGAAUAUUGCACAAUGGGCGCAAGCCUGAUGCAGCGACGCCGCGUGAGGGAUGACGGCCUUCGGGUUGUAAACCUCUUUCAGCAGGGAAGAAGCGCAAGUGACGGUACCUGCAGAAGAAGCGCCGGCUAACUACGUGCCAGCAGCCGCGGUAAUACGUAGGGCGCAAGCGUUGUCCGGAAUUAUUGGGCGUAAAGAGCUCGUAGGCGGCUUGUCACGUCGGGUGUGAAAGCCCGGGGCUUAACCCCGGGUCUGCAUUCGAUACGGGCAGGCUAGAGUGUGGUAGGGGAGAUCGGAAUUCCUGGUGUAGCGGUGAAAUGCGCAGAUAUCAGGAGGAACACCGGUGGCGAAGGCGGAUCUCUGGGCCAUUACUGACGCUGA